CUACUGGGGUUUCUAAUCCUGUUUGCUCCCCACGCUUUCGCGCCUCAGCGUCAGAACCGGACCAGUCAGCCGCCUUCGCCACUGGUGUUCUUGCGAAUAUCUACGAAUUUCACCUCUACACUCGCAGUUCCACUAACCUCUUCCGGUCUCAAGCCAUGCAGUAUCGAAGGCAAUUCUGUGGUUGAGCCACAGGCUUUCACCCCCGACUUACAAAGCCGCCUACGCGCCCUUUACGCCCAGUGAUUCCGAACAACGCUAGCCCCCUUCGUAUUACCGCGGCUGCUGGCAC
This 289-nucleotide ribosomal RNA is filed under the name uncultured Microvirga sp. RNAcentral describes it as "partial 16S ribosomal RNA". Lineage: Bacteria; Pseudomonadati; Pseudomonadota; Alphaproteobacteria; Hyphomicrobiales; Methylobacteriaceae. The record is from RNAcentral.